This 111-nucleotide transfer RNA is filed under the name Klebsiella pneumoniae. Its description in RNAcentral is "tRNA-Leu". It matches the Rfam family "tRNA". Rfam says of the family: Transfer RNA (tRNA) molecules are approximately 80 nucleotides in length. Their secondary structure includes four short double-helical elements and three loops (D, anti-codon, and T loops). Lineage: Bacteria; Pseudomonadati; Pseudomonadota; Gammaproteobacteria; Enterobacterales; Enterobacteriaceae. The record is from RNAcentral.
GCGAAGGUGGCGGAAUUGGUAGACGCGCUAGCUUCAGGUGUUAGUGUCCUUACGGAUUCAGGUGUUAGUGUCCUUACGGACGUGGGGGUUCAAGUCCCCCCCCUCGCACCA